UGUACCUGCUGAACUUAAGCAUAUCAAUAAGCGGAGGAAAAGAAACCAACAGGGAUUGCCUCAGUAACGGCGAGUGAAGCGGCAACAGCUCAAAUUUGAAAUCUGGCCCCCGGCCCGAGUUGUAAUUUGCAGAGGAUGUUCUGGCGAGGUGCCUUCCGAGUUCCCUGGAACGGGACGCCAUAGAGGGUGAGAGCCCCGUACGGUUGGUCGCUAAGCCUCUGUGAAACUCCUUCGACGAGUCGAGUAGUUUGGGAAUGCUGCUCUAAAUGGGAGGUAUACGUCUUCUAAAGCUAAAUACCGGCCAGAGACCGAUAGCGCACAAGUAGAGUGAUCGAAAGAUGAAAAGCACUUUGAAAAGAGGGUUAAAUAGUACGUGAAAUUGUUGAAAGGGAAGCGCUUAUGACCAGACUUGGGCCGGUUGAUCAUCCAUCGUUCUCGGUGGUGCACUCUGCCGGCUCAGGCCAGCAUCAGUUCGGCGCGGGGGAUAAAGGCUUCGGGAAUGUGGCUCCUCACGGGGAGUGUUAUAGCCCGUUGCGUAAUACCCUGGGCUGGACUGAGGUACGCGCUCCGCAAGGAUGCUGGCGUAAUGGUCAUCAGUGACCCGUCUUGAAACACGGACCAAGGAGUCGUCUUCGUAUGCGAGUGUUCGGGUGUCAAACCCCUACGCGUAAUGAAAGUGAACGUAGGAGAGAGCUUCGGCGCAUCUCCGACCGAUCCUGAUGUUCUCGGAUGGAUUUGAGUAAGAGCAUACGGGGCCGGACCCGAAAGAAGGUGAACUAUGCCUGUAUAGGGUGAAGCCAGAGGAAACUCUGGUGGAGGCUCGCAGCGGUUCUGACGUGCAAAUCGAUCGUCAAAUAUGGGCAUGGGGCGAAAGACUAAUCGAACUUUUUUG
This 892-nucleotide ribosomal RNA is filed under the name Paragliomastix chiangraiensis. RNAcentral describes it as "Acremonium sp. JL-2019a partial large subunit ribosomal RNA". It matches the Rfam family "Eukaryotic large subunit ribosomal RNA", at positions 22 to 947 of the family's 3401-position model. Lineage: Eukaryota; Fungi; Ascomycota; Sordariomycetes; Hypocreales; Bionectriaceae. The record is from RNAcentral.